CCCAAAUCCAUUACUUCUUUGCCCUCAAAGAAACUUAAUAGUCGUCCCUCACAAUCAAACGGAAGAGGAGUUAGGAAUUCCAAAGUUCGUCCUCUUGCCAUCCAUUUGCAUAUUCAGAGAAGACAGAAAGAACCAGAGAAGACAGAGAGAGCAGUGCCGUUUCUAAAUCACAACCUUCAUCGAGUCGAUCCUUUUCUUGAUGGAAGGAGGAAUUUAUUCACUCCGGCAUCAUAGUUGUCGCGCCAACUGUCACAGGGUUCGGAUAUUGCGGCAGAGAAUCACUGCAUCAGAUGCCCUAGCAGGCGAUUUGGUCAGAUUGUUCUUCAUGUUGGGAGAUAUAUUGUGACCAUGAUGAGCACUGGAGUGAUCUUGUUGAUUGGAUUCAGUCUGUCAGGUUGACUGAAGGUGGAGAUGGUCAAAUGAAUGAUUUGGUAUAGUUGGGUUGGUGGUAUUAUCAUUGGAAUCAUGAUUGGUUCAAACAUGGUUUUAGACGAAGUUAGCCGAGCCGAUCCUCGAAAUGUUGUAAUUCCCGGAAAUACUAGAGGGCUUGGUAAAGCUCUUGCUCGUGAAUUCCUACUUUCUGUAGAUCGGGUGGUUAUUGCUUCAGGAAGGAUGGCACCUUAACAAAAAAGAUGGGCAAAGCAUCUGACACACUAGACCCUCACCUAGCGGGUGACCAAGGUUGAAGACAGGUUACUGCUGGGAUCCAUGGUACCCAGGCUAACACCUAUUUCCGAGCUGAUGACAGAACAUUGGCAACUUCACGCUGUGAUUUAUCAUUUUUAGAUACUUAAAAUAUGACUUUAUUUUAUGUUUUUUAUGAUCAUUUACACGUUCUGGUUAUGUGCAGGAUCGACCUUCAACUAAGGUUCAUGUUCUUCCUUAGGUUGGUGAUCUAUCGAGGAGCUUCAAUAUAUGGAUUGCCUGAAUGAAAAAAGUUGAGUACUUGUUUAGCCUCCACAUAUAUUAUCCCUAAAAUAACUGUUACUGGUAAAAAAGGCCAUGUUUUUGUCUUACCUACGGUUAUAUCAUGGAUCUCCCUGUACCACGUUUCUUCCGGUAAUAAUAUAUAUUCUGAAAAAAUAUCUCUAAGUUUUAAUCUCUCUUUGUUUAUGCAGUCUAACCAACCUCAUACAUUGGUUGUUGUUACUCCGGAUCCUCCUAUCCGUAACCGUAAAGGCCAAACCUUGUACCCACAUAUUGUGAUAGGAUACUAUCUCUAUUUCCUACCAUGCUUUUUUUUUUAUUCUCUCAAACUCCCACUUCAUGAUUUAUCUUUUAUUUUGUUGCAGUAUGAAACUGCUUAUGUGGUGGACAGCACUUUGAUGAUGAAUGACAUCAUACAAACAAAAUGAUUAUAGCAAUUCGGAUCAUCUUAGCAAUUUGAUAAGGAUCGCAGUUCUCUCUAUUUUAUAACUUGUAUCCGAUGCUGGUAAAGAUCAUCAUUUUACAUUUUGGGGUGUUCGUUUUUAGAACAUGAUAUGUAGUCUUCUAAUGAUUUACGUAUCCAUAAUGUAGUUAGUCUCCUAUCUCUUAUAUUGUUGUUUUUCUUA
This is a long non-coding RNA of Helianthus annuus (common sunflower), 1553 nucleotides long. RefSeq lists it as uncharacterized. The record is from RefSeq and is a predicted model, not a curated record. NCBI's taxonomy places the organism in Eukaryota, Viridiplantae, Streptophyta, Magnoliopsida, Asterales, Asteraceae. The transcript has 6 exons.